GAUGAAGAACUCAGCGAAAUGGGAUAAGUAAUGUGAAUUGCAGAAUUCAGUGAAUCAUCGAAUCUUUGAACGCACAUUGCGCCCCUUGGUAUUCCGGGGGGCAUGCCUCUUCCAGCGUCAUUUCACCCCUCAAGCUCUGCUUGGUUUUGGGCCGCGCCGGCAACGGCGGGCCUCGAAAAUAGUGGCGACGCCAUCGUGCUCUCAGCGUAGUAAUUCUUCUCGCUGUUGGGUCCCGGUGGUCGUCCGCCAGCAACCCCCAACUUUCUUAAGUUUGACCUGGGAUGAGGCAGGGAUACCCGCUGAACUUAAGCAUAUCAAUAAGCGGAGGA
RNAcentral lists this unclassified non-coding RNA (329 nucleotides) under soil metagenome. RNAcentral's name for it is "partial contains 5.8S ribosomal RNA, internal transcribed spacer 2, and large subunit ribosomal RNA". The stretch from base 1 to 120 matches the Rfam family "5.8S ribosomal RNA", at positions 35 to 154 of the family's 154-position model. The record is from RNAcentral.